UACAGCCAUAGCACGUUAAAUUAUUGGUUCUCGUAUGAUCACCGAAGGUAAGUAAGGUCGAGUCUGGUCAGUACCAAGAUGGGUGACCGCUUGGGGAUACCAGGUGUUGUAAG
Acanthosepion pharaonis is the source of this 113-nucleotide non-coding RNA. The record is from the annotation of a GenBank genome assembly. Lineage: Eukaryota; Metazoa; Mollusca; Cephalopoda; Sepiida; Sepiidae.